Long non-coding RNA from Limulus polyphemus (Atlantic horseshoe crab), 532 nucleotides. RefSeq lists it as uncharacterized. The record is from RefSeq and is a predicted model, not a curated record. NCBI's taxonomy places the organism in Eukaryota, Metazoa, Arthropoda, Merostomata, Xiphosura, Limulidae. The transcript has 2 exons.
GUGUGAAAUUGAUGCACACGAACCACUAGAUUCUUGUGCACUCCACACUUUUGAUACAAAUAAAAGCACGUGAAGAUCGUUUCCUAGCAACUGUGAAAUCCAUCAACUGUCAAGUUUCAAGACCUCAAAGACUGAUCUAAAGAAUGGCUACUCCUGGUGUUGCCACUACACUGAGAUGCAGUGCUAACUGCCGAUGUGAAGUCUGUCGAUGCUGUAGCUCAGCGAAAUCGCUAGAUCAACAAACCAGAUGUAGUCCAAACUGCGGUUGCGACAUCUGUCGGUGCUGUGAGGCAGUUAAGCAAAAGCAAGGAAGAUGCAGUAGCAGCUGCCGGUGCGAAGUUUGUAGGUGCUGCGAAGCAAUAAAGGGAAGAUGCAGUCCCAACUGCAAAUGUGACGUUUGCAGAUGCUGUGAAGGAGCAAAAUGUUAAAAUAAUGCUUUGUUUUUACUGUUUAAUUUGAUAUUAUUGUUUAAACAAUGGAAAUAUUGUACAAUGCUUGAGUGAACAACCUAUAUUUUUUGUAACUUUUUAAG